RNAcentral lists this ribosomal RNA (497 nucleotides) under uncultured bacterium. Its description in RNAcentral is "partial 16S ribosomal RNA". It matches the Rfam family "Bacterial small subunit ribosomal RNA", at positions 28 to 507 of the family's 1533-position model. The record is from RNAcentral.
GAUGAACGCUGGCGGCGUGCCUAAUACAUGCAAGUCGAGCGAACAGACGAGGAGCUUUCUCCUCUGACGUUAGCGGCGGACGGGUGAGUAACACGUGGAUAACCUCCCUAUAAGACUGGGAUAACUUCGGGAAACCGGAGCUAAUACCGGAUAAUAUAUUGAACCGCAUGGUUCAAUAGUGAAAGACGGUUUUGCUGUCACUUAUAGAUGGAUCCGCGCCGCAUUAGCUAGUUGGUAAGGUAACGGCUUACCAAGGCAACGAUGCGUAGCCGACCUGAGAGGAUGAUCGGCCACACUGGAACUGAGACACGGUCCAGACUCCUACGGGAGGCAGCAGUAGGGAAUCUUCCACAAUGGGCGAAAGCCUGACGGAGCAACGCCGCGUGAGUGAUGAAGGUCUUCGGAUCGUAAAACUCUGUUAUUAGGGAAGAACAAAUGUGUAAGUAACUAUGCACGUCUUGACGGUACCUAAUCAGAAAGCCACGGCUAACUACGUG